GUGAACCAAGUAAACAGACUGAACGUUGAAAUCCCCACCUAUGAGCGACUCUGAGUCCAGGCCGGUGUUGUUGUCUUCCUCUCUGGUGUCCCACAGAUGCACAGAUGCCGGGGAGGGCUUGUUCUCCUCGCUGUCCUCGCUGUAGAAGCCCGACUCUUGUGAGCUCUCCAGGAAGCCGGGCACGUGCUGGGGGUCAGGGUCACGGUUGGCCAGCGGUAGGAGGUCAGCCUGGUCAUCAGGGGUGACGGAGGCCGCAGCAUAAGAAGAGGAGGAGGAGGAGGAGAGGGUGCGGUAGGGGUGGGGGAGGUCAGGGAGGAGUUGGUGACUGGAGGUCUCCCUUAGGCUGCCUGAUCGCACCAGCAGCAGCAGGAGCAGAGAGCCUAGGAGACAGAGAGAAAAAGGAGGAGAGAGAUACAAAAGAGAGGGAAGAAGUGAGGAGACGGGUGAGAAAGAAGAAGAGAUAGAGAAGAGAGGAGGAUAACAGAGGAGUCACUGACUGCAGUAAAGCAUUGUGGGAGCAGGAAUGAGCACCUGAGGUCCAUGGGUCCAGGUCCAUGUUACAGUAAUGGGGCAGACAGGACACCAAACAUUCAAAAGGGACACAGGGCUUUUGAGAAUUAAAACUAAUGUUCUGAUUCUUAACUUUCUGAUCAUUCUUAACUUGCAUAUGUCUUAUUUUACUCCUCUAUCAAGCAUCUCCUUUACAUCACACGUUCUUAAACAGAAAGAAUACAUCAGAAUUAAGAUGGAGAAAUUGGGAAGGUCAUACAUUCCCAGUAGAAGUCUUAGUCAGAGAGCUGCUCACGGUGAGCUUCAGCAGGAAGUAUGGCUUAGACAGAUGGGUGUAGGAUAAGCCCUUCCUACCAGGCAAUGAGUCUAACCUGCUCAAAGACGUCUGACCCCCCUAGUCUGCGCCCCCUCCCCGUCUCAGUCACAGAUGGCUGAAUCAGACCAGCUUAAUUUCCCCAAACAUUAGGGGGUCCGUCUGGAAUAAUCUCCAGCCGCCACACACAAAUUAGUUCAAUUCUUUCUAAAAAUCAAGAAAGAUUCAUGUUAACAUUACAUACUUAAAUAUCAUAUGCAUAAAUCUCCUGCCUUCUCUGUCUCAUAGAUAGAGAUGCUUCUUCAAACAGAGACAGUCAAACAGCCAACUCCUCUUUGGCAGCAGGUUUCUGUUGAGUCACUGGGUUCUCUCAAUGAGGCCAAUGAAGAUGCUACUGCCAG
Molecule: long non-coding RNA, 1224 nt
Organism: Clupea harengus (Atlantic herring)
Lineage: Eukaryota; Metazoa; Chordata; Actinopteri; Clupeiformes; Clupeidae
Source: Ensembl